Molecule: small nucleolar RNA, 120 nt
Organism: Boleophthalmus pectinirostris (great blue-spotted mudskipper)
Lineage: Eukaryota; Metazoa; Chordata; Actinopteri; Gobiiformes; Gobiidae
Product: small nucleolar RNA SNORA26
Exons: 1
Source: RefSeq, a predicted model, not a curated record
UUGCCCUCUGGAGGCUCUUGAUGCCUUUAGUGGCCAUUAUUGAGGGGUAAAUCAUGGUCCUCUCUUAAACCUGGGUCAGUGGUCUCACCACUGACUCUGGACCUGUCGGGAGGAACAAAA